Molecule: ribosomal RNA, 219 nt
Filed under: Serratia marcescens
Lineage: Bacteria; Pseudomonadati; Pseudomonadota; Gammaproteobacteria; Enterobacterales; Yersiniaceae
Also listed under: 1 other name
Description: partial 16S ribosomal RNA
Rfam family: Bacterial small subunit ribosomal RNA
Source: RNAcentral
UAAUUGAAGAGUUUGAUCAUGGCUCAGAUUGAACGCUGGCGGCAGGCUUAACACAUGCAAGUCGAGCGGUAGCACAGGGGAGCUUGCUCCCUGGGUGACGAGCGGCGGACGGGUGAGUAAUGUCUGGGAAACUGCCUGAUGGAGGGGGAUAACUACUGGAAACGGUAGCUAAUACCGCAUAACGUCGCAAGACCAAAGAGGGGGACCUUCGGGCCUCUU